This 401-nucleotide ribosomal RNA is filed under the name uncultured bacterium. Its description in RNAcentral is "bacterial SSU rRNA". It matches the Rfam family "Bacterial small subunit ribosomal RNA", at positions 361 to 776 of the family's 1533-position model. The record is from RNAcentral.
AUUUUCCGCAAUGGGCGAAAGCCUGACGGAGCAACGCCGCGUGAAUGAAGAAGUCCUUCGGGAUGUAAAGUUCUUUCAGCAGGGACGAGUCGAAGACGGUACCUGCAGAAGAAGCAUCGGCUAACUACGUGCCAGCAGCCGCGGUAAUACGUAGGAUGCAAGCGUUGUCCGGAAUCAUUGGGCGUAAAGCGCACGUAGGCGGCUCUUUAAGUCUCUUGGUGAAAGGCUGGGGCUCAACCCCAUGCAUGCCGGGGAUACUGGGGGGCUUGAGACAGGUAGAGGCCAGCGGAAUUCCGGGUGUAGCGGUGGAAUGCGUAGAGAUCCGGAAGAACACCGGAGGCGAAGGCGGCUGGCUGGACCUGAUCUGACGCUGAGGUGCGAAAGCGUGGGGAGCGAACAGG